AACGAACGCUGGCGGCAUGCUUAACACAUGCAAGUCGAACGAGACCUUCGGGUCUAGUGGCGCACGGGUGCGUAACGCGUUGGAACCUGCCCUUAGGUUCGGAAUAACUCCCCGAAAGGGGUGCUAAUAUCGGAUAAUGUCUUCGGACCAAAGAUUUAUCGCCUUUGGUUGGGCCCGCAUUGGAUUAGCUAGUUGGUAGGGUAAAAGCCUACCAAGGCGACGAUCCAUAGCUGGUCUGAGAGGAUGAUCAGCCACACUGGGACUGAGACACGGCCCAGACUCCUACAGAAGGCAGCGGUGGGGAAUAAUGGACAAUAGGCGAAAGCCUGAUCAAGCGAGGCCGCGUAAGUGAUGAAGGCCUUAGGGUUGUAAAGCUCUUUUACCCAGGAAGAUAAUGACAGAACCGGGAGAAUAAACACCGGCUAACUCCGUG
This 433-nucleotide ribosomal RNA is filed under the name uncultured bacterium. Its description in RNAcentral is "partial 16S ribosomal RNA". It matches the Rfam family "Bacterial small subunit ribosomal RNA", at positions 29 to 507 of the family's 1533-position model. The record is from RNAcentral.